This 476-nucleotide ribosomal RNA is filed under the name [Candida] sp. GE20S02. Its description in RNAcentral is "eukaryotic LSU rRNA". It matches the Rfam family "Eukaryotic large subunit ribosomal RNA", at positions 89 to 650 of the family's 3401-position model. The record is from RNAcentral. Lineage: Eukaryota; Fungi; Ascomycota; Saccharomycetes; Saccharomycetales.
GCGAGUGAAGCGGCAAAAGCUCAAAUUUGAAAUCCUCGGAAUUGUAAUUUGAAGAGGCGGCGGCGAGCACAGACACGGCCAAGUCCACUGGAACGUGGCGCCACAGAGGGUGACAGCCCCGUGGGCCGGCGUCCUGCGCUCGUGCACCGGCGCCUCCAAGAGUCGAGUUGUUUGGGAAUGCAGCUCCAACGGGUGGUAUACUCCAUCCAAAGCUAAAUACCGGCGAGAGACCGAUAGCGAACAAGUACAGUGAUGGAAAGAUGAAAAGCACUUUGAAAAGAGAGUGAAACAGCACGUGAAAUUGUUGAAAGGGAAGGGUUUGCAAGCAGACACGCCCCGGCGGGCCAGUGUCGGUGCGCGGCGGCACACAAACAGGCGCCAACGUAGCAGGCGACUGCAUUAUAGGGCGCCUCGCCGUGCCGGCGCGCACCGAGGACAGCUAGAGAGGACACUGGCGUAAUGGUUGCAAACCGCCC